AUUUAUCUAUCUAUUUAUCUACUUACAUGCAUCCUUUAAUGACACGCUUACCUGUUCCUUUAUUACUGUAGAUAUUCACCUGAUAACUUACGCCUCUUCCUCGUUACCUGCUGGAAGUGCUCACCUGUCUUUGCUUUCCUUGCAGAGCGGCGAGGAGACAGUGAAGGGAUGGAGCAAGCACGUGGUUUUCCUUACUGUCCUUUAUUGCUGAGUCCGUUCUUGUGGGAGUUAUGAAGUGAUGAGGGAGGUACAAAAAUAUGAUCUGGAGAAGCAGUGGUGCCGUCACUCAAGCGAGGCGCGGUGUUCUGCCUCCUGGCCACCCGCACCUUACAUUAUGGAAACUCCUUCUUCCUCCUCGCCCGUUACAUGUGGAACUAAAUUGUGGUCUCAGUGAUAAAUUCGGUUGAACGUGUCAUUGUGGAACUGAAGUGUGGUGUGGCUGACAGCUCGGGUAAAAAAAUGUGUCUUGCACGUGGCUUUGUGGAACUGAAGUGUGUCUUGAACGUGGCACUGGUAUUGAAAUGUUGUCUUGAACGUAAUUUUGUGAAA
This is a long non-coding RNA of Scylla paramamosain (green mud crab), 549 nucleotides long. RefSeq lists it as uncharacterized. The transcript has 2 exons. NCBI's taxonomy places the organism in Eukaryota, Metazoa, Arthropoda, Malacostraca, Decapoda, Portunidae. The record is from RefSeq and is a predicted model, not a curated record.